AGCGAACGCUGGCGGCAGGCUUAACACAUGCAAGUCGAGCGGGCGUAGCAAUACGUCAGCGGCAGACGGGUGAGUAACGCGUGGGAACGUACCUUUUGGUUCGGAACAACACAGGGAAACUUGUGCUAAUACCGGAUAAGCCCUUACGGGGAAAGAUUUAUCGCCGAAAGAUCGGCCCGCGUCUGAUUAGCUAGUUGGUGAGGUAACGGCUCACCAAGGCGACGAUCAGUAGCUGGUCUGAGAGGAUGAUCAGCCACAUUGGGACUGAGACACGGCCCAAACUCCUACGGGAGGCAGCAGUGGGGAAUAUUGGACAAUGGGCGCAAGCCUGAUCCAGCCAUGCCGCGUGAGUGAUGAAGGCCCUAGGUGUAAGACUCUUUGUUGCGGGAAGGAUAAUGACGGUACCGGCAAGAAUAAGCACCGGCUAACUACCGUGCCAGCAGCCG
RNAcentral lists this ribosomal RNA (446 nucleotides) under uncultured bacterium. RNAcentral's name for it is "bacterial SSU rRNA". It matches the Rfam family "Bacterial small subunit ribosomal RNA", at positions 29 to 517 of the family's 1533-position model. The record is from RNAcentral.